GACGAACGCUGGCGGCGUGCUUAACACAUGCAAGUCGAACGGGUCUGCCCUGUUUUUUGCGGGGUGGGUCAGUGGCGAACGGGGGAGUAACACGUGAGUAACCUGCCCCUCACUUCUGGAUAACCGCUUGAAAGGGUGGCUAAUACGGGGUGUUCUGGCUGUGCCGCAUGGUGUGGCUGGGAAAGAUUCACUUUUGGGGUGUUUUGGUGGGGGAUGGGCUCGCGGGCUGUCAGCUUGUUGGUGGGGUGAUGGCCUGCCAAGGCCUUGACGGGUAGCCGGCCAGACUGGGUCUGAGGCACGGUCGAGACUGCGGCGGGAGGCAGCAGUGGGGGGUAGUGCACAAUGGGCGGAAGUGUGAUGCAGCGACGACGCGUGAGCGAUGGAGGCGUGCGGGUUGUGAACCUCUUUCGCCGGUGAAGAAGGUCCUGCUCUUUGUGGUGGGGUUGACCGUAGCCGGGUUAUGAAGCGCCGGCUAACUACGUG
RNAcentral lists this ribosomal RNA (483 nucleotides) under uncultured bacterium. Its description in RNAcentral is "partial 16S ribosomal RNA". It matches the Rfam family "Bacterial small subunit ribosomal RNA", at positions 28 to 507 of the family's 1533-position model. The record is from RNAcentral.